Molecule: small nucleolar RNA, 85 nt
Organism: Molossus molossus (Pallas's mastiff bat)
Lineage: Eukaryota; Metazoa; Chordata; Mammalia; Chiroptera; Molossidae
Source: RefSeq, a predicted model, not a curated record
UCUCGGUGUUGCAAUUCCAGUAGAGCCUCCUGGCCCUCCACCGUGAACUCAUACCAGGGAGAGGAAGAGAAAAGUGACUGAGGGA